Non-coding RNA from Puma concolor (puma), 303 nucleotides. The record is from RefSeq and is a predicted model, not a curated record. NCBI's taxonomy places the organism in Eukaryota, Metazoa, Chordata, Mammalia, Carnivora, Felidae.
GCUGUUUACCUCUUCCCCAACGUUAUUGCAUGGGGAUGCAUGCCGAGGGUCGCCCCCAAAUUACGGGGGGAAGUUUGGUGGAGGGCUACCUUCAGACUCCCAAAGUUCCCUUCUCUGCCAAUUUAUGAAGGGUUCCUGCGGGGUGAACCCCUUCCCCAGCACAGACGGGGGCGAUGGGCCUGGAGGGCCCCAUCCCUCUCACCGCCCCCCGCCCGCCCCAGGAAGGUGGAAUUGGGCUUCUGUCAAUUACAACGCAAACAAUGCUGACAAAUACAUCCUUCUGCUGCUGAGAAACUAUCAACA